CAGCAGUCUGUUCUCACCGUAAUCAAGCCGUGGUGGUGCAGUGGUUAGAAUGCAGUAUUGCAUGCUAUUUCUGCCAACUGCCAGCAGUUCACUUCUCACUGGCUCAAAACUGACUCAGCCUUCCAUCCUUCCAAGAUCUUGAGACAAACAUUUUUAUGCUACUGAUUCUGAGGGGAAAGAGGUGCAGCCUUCUACCAUCUCCAGACCCCUCCAAAUCUGUUCCAAAGGGAUGGGGAAUCUUCCAGUGCACUUCGGAAUGGGAAGGAGCAGGAGGGUGAGAGGCAAAUUCAUUGCCUGAAUAUACAUCCAAUCCCAAAUCCAAUAUUGGAUUUUGCCCCUGAGGUUUUCUAUGAUGAUACAUAGCCAAGAAUACAACACUCUUAAUUUAAGAGAAAGGAGAAUAAAAUAGCUACAUUAAAGUUUUUUUUUCCAUUCUGUCUUGUUAAGAGGGUCUGGAACAGUUUUAUGUUUGAUAUAUAUUGAAGAAACUUGCGUCCACAGCUCCCAUAGUAUAUCUCCAGUUAGAAACUAAAUUUAUAUCAGCAGUAUGACAUCCAGAGGCUAAGAAAAAAUGGUG
This is a long non-coding RNA of Ahaetulla prasina, 577 nucleotides long. RefSeq lists it as uncharacterized. NCBI's taxonomy places the organism in Eukaryota, Metazoa, Chordata, Lepidosauria, Squamata, Colubridae. The transcript is spliced from 3 exons. The record is from RefSeq and is a predicted model, not a curated record.